Molecule: ribosomal RNA, 508 nt
Filed under: uncultured bacterium
Lineage: Bacteria
Description: bacterial SSU rRNA
Rfam family: Bacterial small subunit ribosomal RNA
Source: RNAcentral
UUGCGCGGGAAGAAGAAAGUGACGGUACCGCGCGAAUAAGCCCCGGCUAACUACGUGCCAGCAGCCGCGGUAAUACGUAGGGGGCGAGCGUUGUCCGGAAUUACUGGGCGUAAAGGGCACGCAGGCGGUGCCGUAAGUCGGCUGUAAAAAGAUGCGGCUUAACCGCGUUGCGCAGUCGAAACUGCGGUGCUCGAGUACCGAAGAGGCAAGUGGAAUUCCCAGUGUAGCGGUGAAAUGCGUAGAUAUUGGGAAGAACAUCGGUGGCGAAGGCGACUUGCUGGUCGGUAACUGACGCUAUUGUGCGAAAGCCAGGGGAGCAAACGGGAUUAGAUACCCCGGUAGUCCUGGCGGUAAACGAUGAAUGCUGGGUGUGCGAGUAGAGAUACUGGUGUGCCGUAGUUAACGCGAUAAGCAUUCCGCCUGGGGAGUACGGUCGCAAGAUUGAAACUCAAAGGAAUUGACGGGGGCCCGCACAAGCGGUGGAGCACGUGGUUUAAUUCGAUGCAAA